ACGGAAGGCAGCAGUGGGGAAUAUUGCACAAUGGGCGAAAGCCUGAUGCAGCGACGCCGCGUGAGUGAUGAAGUAUUUCGGUAUGUAAAGCUCUAUCAGCAGGGAAGAUAAUGACGGUACCUGACUAAGAAGCACCGGCUAAAUACGUGCCAGCAGCCGCGGUAAUACGUAUGGUGCAAGCGUUAUCCGGAUUUACUGGGUGUAAAGGGAGCGCAGGCGGUACGGCAAGUCUGAUGUGAAAGCCCGGGGCUCAACCCCGGUACUGCAUUGGAAACUGUCGAACUAGAGUGUCGGAGGGGUAAGUGGAAUUCCUAGUGUAGCGGUGGAAUGCGUAGAUAUUAGGAGGAACACCGGUGGCGAAGGCGACUUUCUGGACGGUAACUGACGUUGAGGCACGAAAGUGUGGGGAGCAAACAGGAUUAGAUACCCUGGUA
This 434-nucleotide ribosomal RNA is filed under the name uncultured Lachnospiraceae bacterium. Its description in RNAcentral is "partial 16S ribosomal RNA". It matches the Rfam family "Bacterial small subunit ribosomal RNA", at positions 341 to 792 of the family's 1533-position model. Lineage: Bacteria; Bacillati; Bacillota; Clostridia; Lachnospirales; Lachnospiraceae. The record is from RNAcentral.